This 252-nucleotide ribosomal RNA is filed under the name uncultured bacterium. RNAcentral's name for it is "partial 16S ribosomal RNA". It matches the Rfam family "Bacterial small subunit ribosomal RNA", at positions 524 to 775 of the family's 1533-position model. The record is from RNAcentral.
UACGAAGGGGGCUAGCGUUGUUCGGAAUCACUGGGCGUAAAGGGCGCGUAGGCGGCCGUUCAAGUCGGGGGUGAAAGCCUGUGGCUCAACCACAGAAUUGCCUUCGAUACUGGACGGCUCGAGACCGGAAGAGGUCAGUGGAACUGCGAGUGUAGAGGUGAAAUUCGUAGAUAUUCGCAAGAACACCAGUGGCGAAGGCGGCUGACUGGUCCGGUUCUGACGCUGAGGCGCGAAAGCGUGGGGAGCAACAGG